RNAcentral lists this long non-coding RNA (575 nucleotides) under Manacus vitellinus (golden-collared manakin). RNAcentral's name for it is "lncRNA (ENSMVIG00005007548.1)". Lineage: Eukaryota; Metazoa; Chordata; Aves; Passeriformes; Pipridae. The record is from RNAcentral.
UUCACAAAUAACUAAGUAGACACCUGGAUUAUUUUUUCCGUGUUGUGAAAGAAACUGCCUUUCUCAUAACUGGUUGUCCUACAUCUUACAGGCACUUUAGAUUUUAUCUGGUCUAAAGGAUUUUGCCACGUGAAGUCCUGUGAGGACAGGUUUCUGCUGGUGUUUUUGAAAAGCUGCCCAGAAAGGUACCUUGAAGCAGCCAUGGAGAAUGGUAGGAGAUACUGCAGUAAUAUCUAAACAAGGCUCACAUCAUUUAACACAAGUACAUGAACCAGGUUUGUGGUAUGCUACUGAUGGCAGUGCACUCCCCAGAUUUACUUUAGUAUCUGAGCCCUGAGAAGAUAGUGACAUCUAUGAAGUAUUGCAAAAUCUCAGCUCCUCCUGAGAGCAGCAGGACUAAGCAGCUCAAGAAAUGUGCAGGGCCAGAUCUCUCCAGUGUCCCUUCCAAAUGUUGGGGAGUUGGAAAAUAUUGUGCAGUUCAUCCGGAAGGCACAGCUGGAGCUUCAGUAACAGUCUGAAUUAGAGUGGCACUGGCAACUGAAGGAGCAAUAAACUGCACAGUAGAUGUGGGAACA